CUCCUUUUCAUUUGUUUUCAAGGUUUGCUCUUACCCUUGCGUCUUUCUUACAAACAAUAAAUGUUACAAAUAAUCUUUUCGCCCCAUUUUCCCCUAGAACUCACUGCUAUGCUUAAGUUUGUGGCUGUUCUCAAACUACUGUUUUCAGUAAAUGCUUAUGUGUAUGCAUAAAGUUGUGAUUUUGUUUUUAAUACAUACAUAUUUACUCUUAACAACUGUUUUAUUUUAGGUUUGGGGGAUUGAACCUAGGGCGUUAGCACUCAGCUACAUCCCUAGCCCUUUUUACUUUUUUGUUUGGAGGCAAGGUCUCACUAAAUUGAGCUCCUGAUCCUCUUGCCUCAGCCUCCCUCGGUGCUGGGACUACAGACCCAUUCCACUGUCAAGAUCUCCCAUGCAGUAUGGACUACAGGGACUGAACUCAGGACCUUGUGCUUGUGAGGCAGGCAGUGGCACCACUGACCUAAAUCUCUGGCCUUUGGCUUCUCUCAAAUUUAAUGGAACUAUCCAGAGAAGUUAAACAACUUGGACAAGGUCACACCCACGUCAGAUGAUGGAGCCCAGAUUAGACUGGAGAGCUGAUUCUCAAGUGUAUGCUCAUGAUACGGUGAAUAAAUAUUUGGUGGAAUCUCUGGUGUGAAAAGAGUGCAUUUUGUAAGUCAAUCAGGUUGAUUGGUGCCUGGGGUCCCCUAGAGAGCUUCAGGAUGGG
Molecule: long non-coding RNA, 706 nt
Filed under: Heterocephalus glaber (naked mole-rat)
Lineage: Eukaryota; Metazoa; Chordata; Mammalia; Rodentia; Bathyergidae
Description: lncRNA (ENSHGLG00100036074.1)
Source: RNAcentral